UGCCUUACACAUGCAAGUCGAACGGCAGCGCGGGAGCAAUCCUGGCGGCGAGUGGCGAACGGGUGAGUAAUACAUCGGAACGUGCCCAAUCGUGGGGGAUAACGCAGCGAAAGCUGUGCUAAUACCGCAUACGAUCUACGGAUGAAAGCAGGGGAUCGCAAGACCUUGCGCGAAUGGAGCGGCCGAUGGCAGAUUAGGUAGUUGGUGAGGUAAAGGCUCACCAAGCCUUCGAUCUGUAGCUGGUCUGAGAGGACGACCAGCCACACUGGGACUGAGACACGGCCCAGACUCCUACGGGAGGCAGCAGUGGGGAAUUUUGGACAAUGGGCGCAAGCCUGAUCCAGCCAUGCCGCGUGCAGGAUGAAGGCCUUCGGGUUGUAAACUGCUUUUGUACGGAACGAAACGGCCUUUUCUAAUAAAGAGGGCUAAUGACGGUACCGUAAGAAA
RNAcentral lists this ribosomal RNA (447 nucleotides) under Variovorax paradoxus. RNAcentral's name for it is "bacterial SSU rRNA". It matches the Rfam family "Bacterial small subunit ribosomal RNA", at positions 45 to 487 of the family's 1533-position model. The record is from RNAcentral. Lineage: Bacteria; Pseudomonadati; Pseudomonadota; Betaproteobacteria; Burkholderiales; Comamonadaceae.